RNAcentral lists this ribosomal RNA (397 nucleotides) under uncultured bacterium. RNAcentral's name for it is "bacterial SSU rRNA". It matches the Rfam family "Bacterial small subunit ribosomal RNA", at positions 975 to 1375 of the family's 1533-position model. The record is from RNAcentral.
CAAGACUUGACAUCGAGCGACCGGUAUUGAAAGAUACCUUUCCUUCGGGACGCGAAGACAGGUGGUGCAUGGUUGUCGUCAGCUCGUGUCGUGAGAUGUUCGGUUAAGUCCGGCAACGAGCGCAACCCCUAUGAUAUGUUGCCAAUAUUAAGUUAGGAACUCAUAUCAGACUGCCGUGGAUAACACGGAGGAAGGCGGGGAUGACGUCAAAUCAUCAUGCCCCUUACGUUUUGGGCUACACACGUGCUACAAUGGGUACUACAAAGAGCAGCGAGUUCGUAAGAAUAAGCAAAUCUCACAAAAGUAUUCUCAGUUCGGAUUGAGGGCUGCAACCCGCCCUCAUGAAGUCGGAGUUGCUAGUAAUCCCGAAUCAGAAUGUCGGGGUGAAUGCGUUCCC